Molecule: transfer RNA, 76 nt
Filed under: Mycobacteroides abscessus subsp. abscessus
Lineage: Bacteria; Bacillati; Actinomycetota; Actinomycetes; Mycobacteriales; Mycobacteriaceae
Description: tRNA-Gly(tcc)
Rfam family: tRNA
About the family: Transfer RNA (tRNA) molecules are approximately 80 nucleotides in length.
Source: RNAcentral
GCGGGUGUAGCUCAAUGGUAGAGCCCCCUAGUCUUCCAAACUAGCUACGCGGGUUCGAUUCCCGUCACCCGCUCCA